This is an RNA transcript of Ctenocephalides felis (cat flea), 1250 nucleotides long. It is a transcript of the gene named corepressor interacting with RBPJ 1-like, with no coding region annotated. The transcript has 8 exons. NCBI's taxonomy places the organism in Eukaryota, Metazoa, Arthropoda, Insecta, Siphonaptera, Pulicidae. The record is from RefSeq and is a predicted model, not a curated record.
UCUAUAACCACAAACUGUCAAAUUCCUUUAGUUUACUUGUUUUAUUUUAUUUAAUUCAGUGGCCACAAAUAUUAUAUCAAAUUGAACAUAAGUUGACAUAUUUCUUGAAUUAGGUGUUAAUAUAUUUCAUUCAAAAUGGGUAAAGGAUUUAAUAAUUAUAUGAACAAAAAGUUCUUUCAUCCAGCAUCUCGAGAUAAUUUAAAAAGGGUAUGGAUGGCAGAACAGAAGUCAGAAGCAUAUAAAAAGAAGCAAGAAGAAUUACGAAUGCAAUAUGAAAAAGAGCAGGAUUUAUAUGAUAACAAGGCUAUGCUAAGUAAAGAUAGUAAAGAUAAGUUAUCCGUUAACUUUAUGUAUGAGCCUCCACCAGGAACUAGAAAAGAGACAACAAAUGACCCAAUUGGAACUGAAGAAGUACGUUUUGAAUGGCAACGAAAAUAUCAGGCGCCUCGUGAAAGUUAUUGCAAAGGUGAUGUGCAAGUUAGAGAUCAGCCUUUUGGCAUUCAAGUUCGAAAUGUUCGAUGUAUUAAGUGCCACAAAUGGGGACAUAUCAACACAGAUAAGGAAUGUUCAAUGUAUGCUCUCAGCAUGUCAGAAGCAAGGGAAAUACAUUCCAAGAAUUUGAUUAAUGAAUCUACAUCUGUUAGAGAUAAUUUGUCAUUAGAGCAGCAAAUGCUUUCUGAUGGUCUGGCAUUGAAAAAAAUUGCAACAAAAACAUCACAUCAUGACCUUAUUGAAGAAACCCCUUCAGUAUCUCAUGAAUCUAAUGACCACACAGAAAAAGAAUUUAUAAAAGGAUUAACAACUAAGCAAAAGAAGGACUUGUUGAAGCGAUUAGAAAAGUUAGAGAAACGCAGUUUGAAAAAGUCAAAAAAGUCAAAAAGUAAACGAAAAAUAUCUGAAAGUAGUUCAUCAGAUUCUUCAAGUUCCGAUGAAGACAAAAAGCAUAAACAUAAAAAGCACAGAAAGCGGGAUGAUGACAGAAAACACAAACAUAAGUCAAAAAAGAGUCACAAAUAAUGUGUUUGGAGAAGCAGUUGGACAAAGUAAUCGUCAGGAUGACCCAAAAUUGAACUCUCUAUCCCGCCUGAUGCUUUUGUAAUGGCUAACUUUUUCUUCACCAGGCUUAAUGGACUGUUCCUGCGAUGGGUUUGGAUUAUUUAGUUGUUCUUCUGCUUUGGCCUCCAUUGUGAAUUGUGAGGAAUGGGCAGCGUCAAAAAUUUUCCGGGAAUCCAAAAAUAAAAGUUAAUAUA